GCCUCUAUAGAUCAUUGUUAGAUCACCUCAGCAUCAUGGAUGACUACCUUCACGACGAUAAUUCCGAGGAGACGUAGGUUCAACUCCUACUGGGGGCG
Molecule: non-coding RNA, 98 nt
Organism: Mycena metata
Lineage: Eukaryota; Fungi; Basidiomycota; Agaricomycetes; Agaricales; Mycenaceae
Source: the annotation of a GenBank genome assembly